Molecule: transfer RNA, 57 nt
Filed under: Loxosceles similis
Lineage: Eukaryota; Metazoa; Arthropoda; Arachnida; Araneae; Sicariidae
Description: tRNA-Leu
Source: RNAcentral
UCUAAUUUGGCAGAUCAUUGCGCUAAGUUUAAACCUUAACUAAACCUUUAGUUCGUU